CGUGGCAAACACGUGGAGAAAAUAAAAAGGACAAAUAUGUCUUUUUACCCAAAUGGCAGACCUAAUUGGUUUUUUUUUAUUGACAGAAAUAUAAAUAAAUAAAUAAAGGGCUUGUAUGAAGGAGUCGUCAAGCCCUCCGCCGGAGACGACGUCAUUGCAGGUGAAUGCUUGUUAGGUCCAGGUUGACUGACAGAGGAAGCACCCAGAAUCACACAGUUGUCCAAAGUAGACCUGAAAUCGGCCCUAUUUAAGCAAAACGUGACCCGAAAUCGGCCCUCUUCAUGCAGAUCAGGGUCCAGAAGACUGAGAUCUUGGGUUUCAUUAUUCAUCGUGUUUGCUAAUGAUUCCCAAGAAAUUAAACAAACCUUUUAGCAAUAUCACACAGAUGUAGAAUCAUUUCAUCCAAACAAAAAAGAAUGCAACGCAACAGCAUACGAGUUGCACCAAAGUACCAAACGACUAUCAUCUGGGUUUAAUUCAUCUGACUCUCUCCACAGUCCACACCGGCCUUCAUCUAUCAUCUUCUUCACAGCCAUAACCCAAAUGAUUUUACAUCUGGUUUUAAUUCAUCAAGGGAGAAGCAGAUUUGAUGAGACAGAAAACAAAUUUGGGAUCUACUCUCGUAAUUCUUCGUCAAUCGGAGCUCUACCAGCUAUAAAUUUGAUGAAUUUUCUUUCUUCACCACCCACAAACCCAGACUCCGCUUCCCCCUUAUCUCCUCCGCUUCCAAAGAUGUCUGGAGAAGAACACCCCACCCCAAAAAGACGCCGUCCCAACCAUCCGAACCAUUCCGCCACCGCCGCAAGCUCCAAGGCACCACCUUCCUGGACCACAGCAUCGACAUGGACGAUCUCACCGCCUCAAUCCGUGCCACCCAAAACGAGCACGACCUCAACUCCCUCCUCUUCCCCUACAAGUCCAUGGCUGGGUUCAUCGCAGUAACAACGGAAAGAAGAAGAGGAGAGAGAAAAUUAUAAAACAAUUAUUUAAUUAAAGAAUUAAAUUGUUGGUAGAAGUUGAGGUUAUUUUGGUCAUUUGCCAUCUCUGUUUUCUCCACGUGCUUGCCACGUCAGCUCUUUAACGGAACCGUUACGAAAAUUUAACGGAAGUAUGUCGUUGAUAGCAAUAUAAGACUUUAGGUAUCACAUUGAUAGCUUUGUGAGUCUGGGUAUCAAACUGGUCGGUGCACAAGAGUUGAGGGACUGUUGGUGCAUUUUCUCAUGAAUCAAUGUUGGAUUUCUUCUGCUAUCGGUUGAUCUGGAAGUCCAUAUAUCAUUUCCUUUUGCUGCAAAAAGCCCAUAGAUGCAAAUCAACACCUUUGUACCAAUCCUCAAGGUGUUGGAAAUGGCUGGUCUCUCCAAUUGGGAAUAAA
Rosa rugosa (rugosa rose) is the source of this 1372-nucleotide long non-coding RNA. RefSeq lists it as uncharacterized. NCBI's taxonomy places the organism in Eukaryota, Viridiplantae, Streptophyta, Magnoliopsida, Rosales, Rosaceae. The transcript is spliced from 3 exons. The record is from RefSeq and is a predicted model, not a curated record.